This 4960-nucleotide long non-coding RNA is filed under the name Monomorium pharaonis (pharaoh ant). RNAcentral describes it as "uncharacterized LOC118644398". Lineage: Eukaryota; Metazoa; Arthropoda; Insecta; Hymenoptera; Formicidae. The record is from RNAcentral.
AUUUUCUUUUUUUCUUUACUUUAUUUUUGUUUUUAAGAUAAAAUAAAAAGUGCAAUUUAUGUUAUAUUAAAAUACCUUAUUGCCAAUAACUUUUUGGCUUUUGGACUUUUUGUACUUUUAAAAUAAAAUAGAAAAUGCAAUUUAUCUUGAAUUAAAUAAAAUAUCCUAAAUAAAACUUGUGCAACUAAUUAUACUAGUAGACACCUUUUAUUUGAUAUUAUUUUUGAAACAAAAACUCCAGUUAACCUUUGUAGAAACCCAAAUAAUUAUGCAAAUUACAUUACGCAUAGCGCUCUCUAAAGGCGCCAUUCAAGCGAAAUAUUGCACACAUAAAUUCUCUUGACAAAACUUUUCGAACGAUAUAUAACACAUAUCCAUUUGCGAUUAACACUUGGUGCACUUCCCUUGUAAGAUAUCAUGUAAAAAAUACGCAAUGUUAUAUAAAGGGUUAUCGAGAAUCAAUACUAUAAUUCUCAACGAAAAAUCUUUUUUGUGAAUCUUCGAUUGUCCAUAACAGCGUACGAGGUUACCAUUCGUACAAUUCAGUUCUUUACAUAUGAAAUCGUUAAUGAUAUCUUUGUCACACCACAUUUUAACUAUAUUGUUUAAUUUAGAUGUGAUUCGAUUAAUAAGAUUAUUCUUUAAUUUCCGGUAAGUAGUUUGAUCACUAUGCAAUGCUGUCGUUUGAUUAAUAUAAGUGUUUUUUUCCAUGACAACUGUAACUUACCUUUAUCAGCUUUUGUGACAAAAUAUAUCAUCAUGUUCCCUCAAAAAUCUUUUACAUUUGUUAAACUCAUUAAUAGUCUAUUCACGUAACUUACAUGUGGAGUUUUACUUAAAAAUCUAUGCAAGGAUAUAGCAAUUUGACUACGUAUUUCGUCAACUAAAUUAUCCGGAAUUUUAUGAGCAUUAUAUUUAAUAUUCCUAAUUAUGUCGACAACGGUGUUUAUACAAUCAGUUUUAUUAUUAGAGAGUACUGGCAAUCCGAAUUUGUCAUCUGAACUUAACACAUUUAAUACUGAUUCCGGAAUAUAUUUAUUACUAAUAUCGACAAUCCUUAGAACGGUCUGUGUUAAGGAAAACGUUAUGCUACUUGUUAUAUUUAUUUAAAAUAUAAUCAAAUUUAUUUAUCAAUCAAUCUCUUUGGACACAGAAAAGUUUUACUUCUUGAGGUUUGCCUCGGAUAUUCAAAUGUCAAGACUGAAACGACAAAGGCGUAACAUUACACUUUUUUUAGAACUCAUUUUUUGUUUGUUAUUCCAACAUUUAAGGAAAAGCCUUAGAACAACGCCCCACGUUGUGAACUGUACGGUCUCUUGUUGCUACUCGAGUUUCCGGAUGCUGUUCUCGUCCCAAUCCGCUUGUAGGACUCCCAAUCCGCAUCUUUAGGGAAAGCUGACCAAGUUCCUUCUAAAUGAGUUCAGGAUAACCUCCUUUUUCUAAGAUUUUCUACAUCGCUACGUCCACUCCUGUGGUCCUGCUUCGAUCUUCAGUUGUUGUAUACUUUCUUUUUCUGUGAAUCGCGUUGACAUUUUCCUCUUCAGUGAAUCUCACUUUUUGGUCCAUAAAUUUUCUUUUUUUUUUUAAAGGAGAAGAAAUAAUUCAUCACUUAGAUUCCAAGUUUUUAGAGAUACUUCUAGAAAGUAUCUGCUUCUAUAUUCGCUUUAUAUCCUAUGAAUAAACCAUGACUCAAAACUGUAGGAGAAACUUCUGAAUUUUUAUAUGUUGUUCUUUCUUGACAAAAUCCAUAAUAUCUAAUGACCUUUUAUUAUUAAUCUUAGGAAUUUUUCGCAGCAAUUUUAGAAUUGUUCUUCAAAGACUUUCUCUUGAGACGACUGCAAAGGACAAGAAGAAAAGAAAAUAAGAACUAAAUAAAGAAAAAUCACUUUUAAAUGAAAUUCUGAUCAGAUUUCCUAAUUCCACUUACUCAGAUGCUUUUCUGAAAAUGAAGCUAACAUGCACAUGAACUAUCUUCCUCUUGUGUCUAUAAAUUUUUUAAUGCAAUAUACCACAUCACUUAAUUUCUUAAUCACCAAAAAAAUCCUUUUAAUUGCUUUAUAAUUUUAGAGCCCUUUCUCUUUACGAGAUUUAAAUAAUCAGAUUUUUUGCUAGACUUAACUUCCCGAUCGUAUUAGGACUUUGCUUAAGAAGACUUUACAUCCAUCCACUUCCUAGUACAGCGAUAGAUCGCCUCGAGUUUUUCUUUCAAUUUUCUUAUGAAAUUAUAUACGGAUUGAUAGUUUUCUUCAAACUUCGAAAGACUUUUCUGAAUCACAAGUAUUCUAAUAUUUUACAUAAAAUAUAAUUCUAUAGAAGUCACACACAAAUGGUUUCGUGUUUAGAAGACAUAAGUUAUCAAUAAUUUUGGAAUAUAUAAGUUAUCAUAUAGGAACAUGGGAAUCCGACGAUCUUAAUCCCUUUGAUUCUCAAAACGAUAUUUCGAAAUUAAUAAUUUAUCACCGUUUGAUGCUGACGUUUGAUCUAUUAGGAGGUAAACUUAAUUUCUGCCGCUCGCUACUAGAGAGCGCUGGCUCCAACACUAAUGAGAUUUGACGGUGAAGUCGCAUGUAUUUUGUAGUUUAUAUAUUGCUAAAAGUGAAUCAAUUCUCACAGAUUAGAUUUCUCGAAGUUAAAGAGAUUUUCCAAUUGAUUAAAGAUGAAUUGCGAUAAUCGGUUUUUCCGACAUGUGUUUCUUCACUACUUUGACCUCAAAAAACCACAGCCGAAAUAUAUCGCUUAUUAUUCGUGUGAUGAUAAUAUUGCCACAAUCUUCCGCCAAUGAAUACUAAUAAAAAAAUCGCGAGCAGAUAGGAAGUGGAAUUUAAAUCCCGCAGCGUUUUAUUUUUUUUCCCGAGCCUUCUCGAUCUCUUGGACGAUCCCCGUAGCAAUUUGCUUUAUAAUAAUACAUAUAAUAAAUUUAUGUUUGAGUAGAGAAGUACUUAGUCGGGCAAUGUCGUUACGAAAAACGACAACAAUAUUUACGUUUACAAAGAAGAUCGGGAAGAGUACGGGAGAUAAGAAAAAACGGAGAAGCAUGCAAUAUUUUGUGUUCGGCAGUUAGAAGAACGGACAGGAAAUACACAAACGCACAAAUAAAGAGAUAUCAUCCAAGAAAAUUGACUUUAUUUAAAUAUUCGUCUCAAUCCGAAUUUCUCGCGCUCCUAUUUAACUUCGAAAAUCGCGCAUUUUCUUAUUGGACUCUCCAGCGGCAUCAAAUUAACUGAGAAACGGGAACUACACGAACGCGCAAAAUAAGUAAUGACCCCGACGUGAUUCGUCGGCGCAAUACCCGAACGUUUGUUUUGCUUUCUCUCCGAGUGUUUUUCGGAUCUCGUGGACAACAAGUGUUUGGUGAAGUGAUUUGCCGAAACAUUUAGAAGAGAAGUCUUUGAUGCGCGAUGAUAAAGUACUGAUCCAGUUGCUCGAGCCGCAGCAGGUAUCCGUGGUAUCGACGAUGACUAGUCAGCCGAUACCGUUGAUUAAUGAAACGGAGGUGAGCAGAGUCGGAAUGCGAAAGCCAAAGUUCAUUCUAAACAAUUCUGAUUUAGUAUACUAGAUUUAGUAUACUAGCAGUUUUCAUGCCGCCGGAAUUCACGACAAGAUGACUCGAAAAAUACCCGAGAUCUAGUCAGUCAAGGCAAGAUGUGACCGAGAUGUUACCAGUGAAGACAAGAUGUGAUCGAGAUCCAGCUAGUGAAGGCAAGAUGUAAUCGAGAUCUAUAGCCAAUGAACGCAAGAUGUGAUCGAAAUCCAGCCAGUGAAAGCAAGAUUUUAUUAUUUCUUUUCAUAAUUUAUGAAUAUAAAGUCCACAAUAAUUGACAUUAUCCUUUAUAUUCAUGGCAAUAGUGAGGAUUUCAAUUUCUAUCGUAAAAAAAUGUUCCAUACACAAAGAAUUACAUCACGCACAUUUUAUUACUGCGGUGUCAUUGUAGAUUUUGCAGACCAUACCGCAAUUUUUUAAACAGAAAUCAACAGGUAUUUCACAUCCAUCUGAUUUUUUUUUAUAUAUUCAUUUUUCCACGAAACGUAUUUAAUUAAGGUGAUGAAAAUUGUGCAUUAAUGAUUACAUUUUGAGAAUGUUAUUCCUCAAAUGUGACUUAAUAUCAUAGUUGUAUAAGAGAAUUAAGUCUAAAAUUUGUUUUAGAAAGUUUUUCCGCGUUUUGAAUCUAUAGACAUCCAGUAGUUGAGACCUGUUGUUCCGGCAAUAAUUGUAAGGAUUUUUCUUACUUCCUUACUACCCUUGUCUGUAUUAUAUUUUCAAAUUUCUUUUCUGUUUGUGACCAAGGUCUGUUCUGACCAAGGAUCCAAUGCAAAACAGAUUUCUCGCCAGCAUUAAGAGGACUAGGCAGUCAGAUUUAGUAAAAAUUUAACCUUUUUGGGGAAUUAUUUACAAGGACAUAAAUACAAAUUGUGACUAGUACUUUUAGGUAAUGUUUACUAGUACCAUAACAGUAGAAAAAAAUUGUUUUUAAUAAUAUAUGUAUGUAUAUAUGAUGGCGCUACAGUCUUCUGAUGCAUAGGCGGUCUUUCUGGUGCCGCUGUGGUUUUGCAGGCCAUUGAUCCUGGCCAUGAAAAAUUAAAUUGUAAAAUAUCCUGGAAAAUUUGGCAUUCUAUAGGACUUCAUUCUGCACUGAACCUAUUUAAAAAGGAAAAAAAUCAAAAUUUAAAAAAUGGCAGCUGCAAAUGUAAAAAAACAUGAUUUUUCAUUAAAAAGGAGAACCUACUUAAAUUUAUUUUUUUGUCAAAACAGAAGUUUUUACAGAUUUAUGCAUAGCUUCAGGCCUUAACUAGACAUGUUUUACUCAAUUUUUUUCAAAUUGAUUUAAAUUGAAUUUCGAUUUGAACCUCCAUCUUUUUACAAUCACUGCAAAAUGAAGAGAAAAAAAGAUUUCAAGAAAACCGCGUUUAAAGUGUUAAAAAACUUUUGAGUACAAUAAUUACUACCUACCUUGUUUAAAAA